RNAcentral lists this long non-coding RNA (1138 nucleotides) under Olea europaea subsp. europaea. The record is from RNAcentral. Lineage: Eukaryota; Viridiplantae; Streptophyta; Magnoliopsida; Lamiales; Oleaceae.
CACAAUCACUUCACAAUUCUGGACAUGGUAUUAGAACCCAGAAACAGGGAAAAAAAAUCUGUUUCUCCUCCAAGCAUCACAACUUUCAUUUGACUCAAUUAUACACUUACAGCAAUCAAAUCAACUACACUUCCAGGCAGAAUCAUGGUUGUUAAGGGAUAAAUCGCACACCUUUUAUAGAUGGAACAAAUAACCAAUUACAUUCUUGAAGACACAACAAUUGCCAAUUCAAACAAGGCUCAUGAGCUAAACUCAGACAACACCUGGCACUCUGCCAAUCUGCUAAGUCUUGGCCUUAUGCAUUAACCGUGUCCUGAUAAUUUUCAAUGCAGCCAACUGCAGAUAUUGUGGAAGCACUUUUUUCUAUUUUAACUUUGUAUUUCAUAUCAUUAUCUCAGUCUUUUAUCAAGCUAUACAUGUUGUAUAUUCAGUUAAUAGAAAUUAAGAAAUUUCAAUCUCCAUUCUCAUCUUCAUAUGGUAUCAGAUCCAUAAUUCUCUCAUGAGAUAAUCUCCAUUUUUAUUUUUUCCUUCUUCCUUGAAAUUCAGCUCUCAAUGGCCAUUGAAGCUGCCACUAAGUGACACUACAGUUACCCAAUCAGCACAUUCUCCUUCUAUCCUUGUUCAAAUUAAUGCUGCUACCCAACUCCAUUUAUAUCUUGCUUCAUCUAAUCGUUUUUCUGGAAGGUCCAAUUCACAUCCUUUCUCUAUGGUCUCAAUUUGCUCAUCCUGUCCACCGGAACUUACUGUUGAAGGUGUCUCAAAAUCUAAUCCUGAUUACAUCUUUUGACAUGCCAAGACAAGAUGUAGUUCCACUAACUAUGACAUAUGAAAUCAUGUUUCCAACAAGCUCAGGGAGAUCUGCCUUUAGGUGAUCUAGCUUAACAUUUAUUUAUUUAUUUAUUUUCCUUAAACAUUGAUUCAAUUAAUUUUACUGUGCAAUGUCUUUUGUUAAGAGCUUAUAAAUAAGAAAGUGCCAAGGGACAACAAUUCAAUAGAAAGGUCAUGAUACCUUGUUAUUAUUUAACAAUAGUAUAAAAGGGAAAUGACAAUGUAAUUUAAAAGAGACAACAUUUGGGAGGACAAUAUUGUACUAUGCUUUAUUAAUUUCUUCAUAAUCUGCAGUUAGGCAGAACCAUCA